UACGGGGGGAGCAAGCGUUGUUCGGAUUUACUGGGCGUAAAGGGCGCGUAGGCGGCGUGGCAAGUCACUUGUGAAAUCUCCGGGCUUAACCCGGAACGGUCAAGUGAUACUGCUGUGCUAGAGUGCGGAAGGGGCAACUGGAAUUCUUGGUGUAGCGGUGAAAUGCGUAGAUAUCAAGAGGAACACCUGCGGCGAAGGCGGGUUGCUGGGCCGACACUGACGCUGAGGCGCGAAAGCUAGGGGAGCGAACGGG
This 253-nucleotide ribosomal RNA is filed under the name uncultured bacterium. RNAcentral's name for it is "partial 16S ribosomal RNA". It matches the Rfam family "Bacterial small subunit ribosomal RNA", at positions 524 to 776 of the family's 1533-position model. The record is from RNAcentral.